CUCUAUGCAAAUAGAGAGGCUGACGUCACCCGUCACGUGGUUUCAGCGUCGCUGCCCCGCUGGGAGCCAGGGUUUUUUUUUUUUUUUUUGGUUUUUUUCCUGCCCCCUCCCCUGCGCCCCUCCCCCGCCUGCGGGCUCCUCCUCCUGCUCCUCCUCCUGCUCCUCCUGCUCCUGCUGCUCCUCCUGCUCCUGCCGCCGCCGGGGUGUUGUUGGGCUGCUCCCGGCUGGGCGGGAGCCCCGCUCCCCUGUGGGAUCCCCCCGUGCGGGGUGGGGGCGGGAGGACUGGCCGGGCCGGGGGCCCCGCAGCGCCCCGCCUGCAGGUGUCACACGGCCGGAUGGCAGGCAGAAACGAGGCUUAGCGUCCCCCAGGCCGACAGGACUUCCGCCUCGAGACCGGCCCGUCCGAGGGAAGGCCGGCCUGUUGAGAAGCCCCCUACUCGCCCCAAGUCACCAC
Molecule: long non-coding RNA, 454 nt
Filed under: Ornithorhynchus anatinus (platypus)
Lineage: Eukaryota; Metazoa; Chordata; Mammalia; Monotremata; Ornithorhynchidae
Description: lncRNA (ENSOANG00000040318.1)
Source: RNAcentral